UUCAAUCCUCUGCCCAAGAAUCGGUUUCGGAAACAAAUUACACCAAAUGAAACUAUGCUAUUGCAUUCGCUAGAUGGUAAUCGAGCCAUCUUGCUUCAUUUUGAUGAGACUGCUUUCGAUGUUUCGGAGAACUGCUUUGUAGCCGUGGCAUUUCAAAUGAAGUUUAGCAUCUAGAAUCUUGUCAGAUAUGAGUUCAUAAGUCGUUAGGAAGAGGGAAAGGAAAUAUCUUACAGGCGUGCAAGACUGUUAUAUGCUAGCGUCGCUUGUUGGAGACGCGCUGAAAGCUGCAUUACUUCAGCUGAUAGUGAAUCUGCUCUGCUCUGUUCUUGCACAAGUUGUCCCUAGAAAACGAAUAUA
Molecule: long non-coding RNA, 357 nt
Filed under: Gossypium barbadense (sea-island cotton)
Lineage: Eukaryota; Viridiplantae; Streptophyta; Magnoliopsida; Malvales; Malvaceae
Description: long non-coding RNA (GBAR_LNC015086)
Source: RNAcentral